AUUAUUUUGGCAGAAUUUAAUGCAAUGAAUUUAGAAUUCAUUUAUAUAUAAUAUUAUUUAUAUAGAUAAUA
RNAcentral lists this transfer RNA (71 nucleotides) under Hydropsyche pellucidula. RNAcentral describes it as "tRNA-Leu". The record is from RNAcentral. Lineage: Eukaryota; Metazoa; Arthropoda; Insecta; Trichoptera; Hydropsychidae.